RNAcentral lists this ribosomal RNA (401 nucleotides) under Brucella melitensis. Its description in RNAcentral is "partial 16S ribosomal RNA". It matches the Rfam family "Bacterial small subunit ribosomal RNA", at positions 355 to 773 of the family's 1533-position model. RNAcentral also lists the same sequence under 1 other name. Lineage: Bacteria; Pseudomonadati; Pseudomonadota; Alphaproteobacteria; Hyphomicrobiales; Brucellaceae. The record is from RNAcentral.
UGGGGAAUAUUGGACAAUGGGCGCAAGCCUGAUCCAGCCAUGCCGCGUGAGUGAUGAAGGCCCUAGGGUUGUAAAGCUCUUUCACCGGUGAAGAUAAUGACGGUAACCGGAGAAGAAGCCCCGGCUAACUUCGUGCCAGCAGCCGCGGUAAUACGAAGGGGGCUAGCGUUGUUCGGAAUUACUGGGCGUAAAGCGCACGUAGGCGGGUAUUUAAGUCAGGGGUGAAAUCCCAGAGCUCAACUCUGGAACUGCCUUUGAUACUGGGUACCUAGAGUAUGGAAGAGGUGAGUGGAAUUCCGAGUGUAGAGGUGAAAUUCGUAGAUAUUCGGAGGAACACCAGUGGCGAAGGCGGCUCACUGGUCCAUUACUGACGCUGAGGUGCGAAAGCGUGGGGAGCAAAC